UCAACUUGCCGACAAUCAAUUUUCGGGGAAGAUACCUGAUUUUAUUCAAAGUUGGACAAAUCUUCAGCAACUAGUAAUUCAAGGGAGUGGGCUUAGUGGGCCAAUUCCUUCCGGGAUUUCAGUUUUGGAACACUUAUAUGACUUGAGAAUAAGUGAUCUGAAUGGAGAUGAAAAUUCAUCUUUUCCUCAACUUAAAAAUAUGUCAAUGAAAA
Molecule: long non-coding RNA, 212 nt
Organism: Arachis stenosperma
Lineage: Eukaryota; Viridiplantae; Streptophyta; Magnoliopsida; Fabales; Fabaceae
Exons: 3
Source: RefSeq, a predicted model, not a curated record